RNAcentral lists this ribosomal RNA (508 nucleotides) under uncultured bacterium. RNAcentral's name for it is "partial 16S ribosomal RNA". It matches the Rfam family "Bacterial small subunit ribosomal RNA", at positions 28 to 523 of the family's 1533-position model. The record is from RNAcentral.
GACGAACGCUGGCGGCGCGCUUAACACAUGCAAGUCGAGCGAGAACCAGGGCUUCGGCCCUGGGGACAGCGGCGAACGGGUGAGUAACACGUGGGUAAUCUGCCCUCGGCACCGGAAUAGCCCGGGGAAACCCGGAUUAAUGCCGGAUGGCCCCUUCACCUCGCGAGGUGUCGGGAAAAGGUAGCUUCGGCCCCUGGCCGAGGAUGAGCCCGCGGCGGAUUAGCUUGUUGGCGGGGUAACGGCCCACCAAGGCGACGAUCCGUAGCUGGUCUGAGAGGACGAUCAGCCACACUGGGACGGAGACACGGCCCAGACUCCGACGGGAGGCAGCAGUGGGGAAUCUUGCGCAAUGGGCGAAAGCCUGACGCAGCGACGCCGCGUGAGGGAAGAAGGCCUUCGGGUUGUAAACCUCUUUCAGGAGGGACGAGGCUACUCGGGUGAAUAGCCCAGAGGGUGACGGUACCUCCAGAAGAAGCCCCGGCUAACUACGUGCCAGCCGCCGCGGUAA